This 331-nucleotide ribosomal RNA is filed under the name uncultured bacterium. RNAcentral's name for it is "bacterial SSU rRNA". It matches the Rfam family "Bacterial small subunit ribosomal RNA", at positions 568 to 898 of the family's 1533-position model. The record is from RNAcentral.
CAUGUAGGCGGCCUUUUAAGUCAGACGUGAAAUCCAUGGGCUUAACCCAUGAAUUGCGUUUGAAACUGGAGGGCUUGAGGAUCGGAGAGGGCAGUGGAAUUCCCAGUGUAGCGGUGAAAUGCGUAGAUAUUGGGAGGAACACCAGUGGCGAAGGCGACUGCCUGGACGACACCUGACGCUGAGGCGCGAAAGCUAGGGGAGCAAACGGGAUUAGAUACCCCGGUAGUCCUAGCCGUAAACGAUGGGUACUAGGUGUGGGAGGUAUCGACCCCUUCCGUGCCGCAGUUAACACAAUAAGUACCCCGCCUGGGGAUACGGCCGCAAGGUUGAA